UUGCUUUCUUUGCUGACGAGCGGCGGACGGGUGAGUAAUGCCUAGGGAACUGCCCAGUCGAGGGGGAUAACAGUUGGAAACGACUGCUAAUACCGCAUACGCCCUACGGGGGAAAGGAGGGGCUCUUCGGACCUUUCGCGAUUGGAUGUACCUAGGUGGGAUUAGCUUGUUGGUGAGGUAAGAGCUCACCAAGGCGACGAUCCCUAGCUGUUCUGAGAGGAUGAUCAGCCACACUGGGACUGAGACACGGCCCAGACUCCUACGGGAGGCAGCAGUGGGGAAUAUUGCACAAUGGGCGAAAGCCUGAUGCAGCCAUGCCGCGUGUGUGAAGAAGGCCUUCGGGUUGUAAAGCACUUUCAGCGAGGAGGAAAGGUUAACGGUUAAUACCCGUUAGCUGUGACGUUACUCGCAGAAGAAGCACCGGCUAACUUCGUGCCAGCAGCCGCGGGUAAUACGAGGGGUGCAAGCGUUAAUCGGAAUUACUGGGCGUAAAGCGUACGCAG
RNAcentral lists this ribosomal RNA (503 nucleotides) under Shewanella sp. ini16. Its description in RNAcentral is "bacterial SSU rRNA". It matches the Rfam family "Bacterial small subunit ribosomal RNA", at positions 76 to 574 of the family's 1533-position model. Lineage: Bacteria; Pseudomonadati; Pseudomonadota; Gammaproteobacteria; Alteromonadales; Shewanellaceae. The record is from RNAcentral.